Molecule: regulatory RNA element, 85 nt
Organism: Desulfatibacillum alkenivorans AK-01
Lineage: Bacteria; Pseudomonadati; Thermodesulfobacteriota; Desulfobacteria; Desulfobacterales; Desulfatibacillaceae
Rfam family: c-di-GMP-I-GGC riboswitch aptamer
Source: Rfam
AAAGACAAAGCCAAACCUGCUGCGAGGCAGGGACGGAAAGCCACGGGUCCCAUAAACAGACAUGCGGAUAGCCGGGUUACCAUUA